GAGAACGAGCUUUUGGUCACCAAGCAUUCACAACGACGUGGCCUUUUGAUUCUUCGAUGCCGGCUUUUCCUAUCAUUGUUAAGCAAAACACCAAAAGUUUUAUGGCUUAACUACUAAUAGGGAACUCUAACUAGGCUUAGGUCAUCGUGAGCCAGUUU
This 158-nucleotide non-coding RNA is filed under the name Schistocephalus solidus. RNAcentral describes it as "Eukaryotic large subunit ribosomal RNA". It matches the Rfam family "Eukaryotic large subunit ribosomal RNA", at positions 2825 to 2984 of the family's 3401-position model. Lineage: Eukaryota; Metazoa; Platyhelminthes; Cestoda; Diphyllobothriidea; Diphyllobothriidae. The record is from Rfam by way of RNAcentral.